CGGUAAUUCCCUCUUAUUUGGGGUUCGCCUAUCUUGUUCUUGUGAUGUAGAUUCGCAAGCCAUUUUGCCAAGAAUGCAGUUGCUCGAUGCUCGCUUGUUCUCCUAUUUCCUGAGCGUAAUGAUUGCUGGUAGCGGUAGAUUGAACUGAUGGGAGUAUUAAUCAUGUUUACAUUUCCAGGUUGAGAGAAAAUGGUGCUACCCGUC
This 204-nucleotide unclassified non-coding RNA is filed under the name Hevea brasiliensis (rubber tree). The record is from RNAcentral. Lineage: Eukaryota; Viridiplantae; Streptophyta; Magnoliopsida; Malpighiales; Euphorbiaceae.